Molecule: long non-coding RNA, 553 nt
Organism: Pan troglodytes (chimpanzee)
Lineage: Eukaryota; Metazoa; Chordata; Mammalia; Primates; Hominidae
Exons: 3
Source: RefSeq, a predicted model, not a curated record
GCUGCCCUGCCCAAGGCCCUACCCCCUCUGCAGUUGGGGUUUGGGGGGCAGCACGCAUCCUGUGGCUGGCUGGCCCCUUGCCUUGUCUAGACAACUCUGACAGCAGUCCAUGGGAUUGCUGAAGGCCUUUAUUGCAACAGAAUCAUAAUUCAAUUUCUCCCUCUAUGGAAUCCUUUUUCUCUUCUUUAUAGGUAUUGAUCCUAAAAGCACUCCCCAGUAAAAGUCCUGCAUGUAAAUCUCCACCUCAGACCCUGUUUCUCAGAAAUGCAAUGAUCAACUAUGUGGAGGAGAUAUGUGAGAAAUGCCUUAGCAGACGAUGAAGAAAGAGAUCAAAAGGCUCCGAGAAGCAGGAAUGCUAUGGUGGAUAUGCAGUCAGCUCUCUGUAUCUGUGGGUUCAUUCAACCUCGGACUGAAAAUAUUCAGCAUUUGGGAAAAAAGUGGCAUCCCAUACUCAACAUGAUGUGAAUUGUCCCUUUGUCCAGUGGAUACACACUGUCUACACUUCCCUCCAGUUAGCCGCUUCACCAUCUCGGUGAUCAGAUGGACUGUCAAG